Non-coding RNA from Pelobates cultripes (western spadefoot toad), 552 nucleotides. The record is from the annotation of a GenBank genome assembly. NCBI's taxonomy places the organism in Eukaryota, Metazoa, Chordata, Amphibia, Anura, Pelobatidae.
CUAAAAGGUAAAUGCACAAAAUAUAAAAGCCACAUGCACUGGAUGCAGUGUGUUUAGACAGUGGAGCUGUGUAUAUUUUUUUGUAAUGAAUGCAGGGUGUGUUUGUGUAGUUUGUAUAGUUAAUGCAGUGACUGUGUAGUGUGUAUAUAAUGAAUGCAGAGUGUGUGUUUGUGUAGUGUGUGGUGUAUAAAGGGAAUGCAGUGUGUUUGUGUGUAGUGUGUGUAAAGUGAAUGCAGUGUUUAGUGUGUAUAGCGAACGCAGUGUGUGUAUAGUGAAUGCAGUGCAUGUAGUGUGCGUAUAGUGAAUGCAGUGUGUCUGUAUAGUGUGUGUAUAUAAUGAAUACAGUGUGUGUGUGUGUGUGUGUGUGUGUGUAUAUAAUGUAGUGUUUGCAGUGUGUGUGUAUACAAUGCAGUGUUUGUAAUGUGUGUGUGUAUAUAAUGCAGUGUUUGUAGUGUGUGUGUGUAUAUAAUGCAGUGUGUGUGUAUAAUGCAGUGUGUGUAGUGUGUGCAGUAAACACACACUGCAUUAUAUAUACACACACACACACUAAAU